UGGGGAAUAUUGCACAAUGGGCGCAAGCCUGAUGCAGCCAUGCCGCGUGUAUGAAGAAGGCCUUCGGGUUGUAAAGUACUUUCAGUCGGGAGGAAGGUGGUAAGGUUAAUAACCUUGGCAAUUGACGUUACCGACAGAAGAAGCACCGGCUAACUCCGUGCCAGCAGCCGCGGUAAUACGGAGGUUGCAAGCGUUAAUCGGAAUUACUGGGCGUAAAGCGCACGCAGGCGGUUGAUUGAGUCAGAUGUGAAAUCCCCGGGCUUAACCCGGGAAUUGCAUCUGAUACUGGUCAGCUAGAGUCUUGUAGAGGGGGGUAGAAUUCCAUGUGUAGCGGUGAAAUGCGUAGAGAUGUGGAGGAAUACCGGUGGCGAAGGCGGCCCCCUGGACAAAGACUGACGCUCAGGUGCGAAAGCGUGGGGAGCAAACAGG
RNAcentral lists this ribosomal RNA (429 nucleotides) under Chloroflexota bacterium. Its description in RNAcentral is "Chloroflexi bacterium partial 16S ribosomal RNA". It matches the Rfam family "Bacterial small subunit ribosomal RNA", at positions 355 to 776 of the family's 1533-position model. Lineage: Bacteria; Bacillati; Chloroflexota. The record is from RNAcentral.